ACUCUUCAACCCGCCCUUUUUCUUUCAUGAAUAGGUGUCGGUGUUUGGAUUUUGAGCCCUUGCCAUUGAUUUGGCUGGCUCGUAAUGCAUUAGCAUUUCAAUUUUCGUAAUCGGAUUGACUUGGCGUAAUAGACUAUUCGCUGAGGACACUUUUACUAGUGGCCGAGACAAGGAAUAACGAAGAGCUUCCAACCCCCUCUAGUCAGAAAUUUUUAAG
RNAcentral lists this unclassified non-coding RNA (217 nucleotides) under uncultured Chrysozyma. RNAcentral describes it as "sequence contains ITS2". Lineage: Eukaryota; Fungi; Basidiomycota; Microbotryomycetes; Chrysozymaceae. The record is from RNAcentral.